AGAGGCGUGGCCGAGCGACCGAAGGCGCGAGUCUUGAAAACUCGUGAGCGGUUACGCCGUCCCGUGGGUCGAAUCCCACCGCCUCGC
RNAcentral lists this transfer RNA (87 nucleotides) under Euzebyales bacterium. RNAcentral's name for it is "tRNA-Ser". It matches the Rfam family "tRNA". Rfam says of the family: Transfer RNA (tRNA) molecules are approximately 80 nucleotides in length. Their secondary structure includes four short double-helical elements and three loops (D, anti-codon, and T loops). The record is from RNAcentral. Lineage: Bacteria; Bacillati; Actinomycetota; Nitriliruptoria; Euzebyales. RNAcentral also lists the same sequence under 1 other name.